AUUGAACGCUGGCGGCAGGCUUAACACAUGCAAGUCGAGCGGAGACUUCGGUCUUAGCGGCGAACGGGUGAGUAAUACCUAGGAAUCUGCCUAUUAGUGGGGGAUAACGAAUCGAAAGGUUCGCUAAUACCGCAUACGUCCUACGGGAGAAAGGGGGGGAUCUUCGGACCUCUCGCUAAUAGAUGAGCCUAGGCCGGAUUAGCUAGUUGGUAGGGUAAAGGCCUACCAAGGCGACGAUCUGUAGCUGGUCUGAGAGGAUGGCCAGCCACACUGGAACUGAGACACGGUCCAGACUCCUACGGGAGGCAGCAGUGGGGAAUAUUGGACAAUGGGGGCAACCCUGAUCCAGCCAUGCCGCGUGUGUGAAGAAGGCCUCGGUUGUAAGCACUUAAGUACGAGGAGGAAGGUUUUAGUUUAAGUUACUACUAAAGAAUUAGGACGUUACUCGUCACGAAUAAGACACCGGCUAACUACUAG
RNAcentral lists this ribosomal RNA (477 nucleotides) under uncultured bacterium. RNAcentral's name for it is "bacterial SSU rRNA". It matches the Rfam family "Bacterial small subunit ribosomal RNA", at positions 30 to 507 of the family's 1533-position model. The record is from RNAcentral.